Molecule: non-coding RNA, 100 nt
Organism: Dermacoccus sp. PE3
Lineage: Bacteria; Bacillati; Actinomycetota; Actinomycetes; Micrococcales; Dermacoccaceae
Source: Rfam
GUAGCCCUCUGCGUCCAGGUCUCCGGCCGCUGCUUUCCGGCACACCUUCCCCGGUGCCGGAGCGCAGCGGCGGGGGCCCUGGACGCAGAGUCGCAGCGGC